AUGCUGCUUUGGAAGCUUUUUGAUGAUAAACAUGACUGGUUUAAGGAUAUUAAUGUGUUAGAUGAAGUUGUUGAGGACAUAGACAAUCCACUUUCUCUGUUGAAAGACAGAUUUGUGUUAGAACCACUUGGGAGUUGUGAACGUCAUGUUUUGCUUUGGUGGCUCUGGGUUGAAGCUUGCAUAUACAUCAAAUUUCCACCUCAGUGA
Vicia faba (fava bean) is the source of this 207-nucleotide non-coding RNA. The record is from the annotation of a GenBank genome assembly. NCBI's taxonomy places the organism in Eukaryota, Viridiplantae, Streptophyta, Magnoliopsida, Fabales, Fabaceae.